Dalotia coriaria is the source of this 1752-nucleotide long non-coding RNA. RefSeq lists it as uncharacterized. The record is from RefSeq and is a predicted model, not a curated record. The transcript is spliced from 3 exons. Lineage: Eukaryota; Metazoa; Arthropoda; Insecta; Coleoptera; Staphylinidae.
UAUUUUGUUUUGUUUUGAAUCGCACAGCAUUGACCUCUGAUAUCGCUGCGGUCAAUACCUCACGCCAUCGGUUUAGAGUGCACAUGCAUAGAUAACGCAGGUAUACGUUGUUGUGUUUAGUCGAGCUGGUUCUUCUCGUCGGGUCGGUCGCGAAAAUAUAAUUCGAUAAUUUGCAUUGCAUUUAAUUGGAAUGCAACGUAAUUUGUGCUUAUUAUUGUUAUUGUGCGACCGCGUGGCUCAUCACCUUCUUUUGGUUGAUUUUAUGGAUUUUGACGACCCAUAUUUUGUUUCCGUCUAUUUUUAAAGAAGUGUUUGCCGUGCCUUGGAGUCCAUGAGUUGUGCAUUGUAUUCGCCAACUUGCCGUCGAUAUACCGUCUUCCAUAACCGGUAUGUAAAAUAAUUUCAUUAUUUAUAGUAACUGUUUGCCGUGUUAGUGUAGUGUACCUAGAUUGCAAUAUUCCUCAUCACCUCAUCUUAGUAACAUUUAUAUAUCACUUAAAUAUUUAAUGUUAAAAACGAAUAAUCUUUCACCAUAAGAAUUUAAAAUUACAUAAAUAGAAUUUUAAUUUAUCAUUAUUCCACUUUCUUUAACGCCAUGCGAAUAGCAACGUCCAAGAUUGCCGAGUGUUGUCGUUGCCAUCCUUUCGCGCCUCGCUCUGCUUUUCUAGUUUAGUUUAGUUCGCAUGUAUCGGGUCUAUUGCAAUUUGUGCGCGGGCAGUCGCCGCGGCCAUCCUUGCGCCGGCUUUGCGCGUUCGGGCAGCACGUAGUCUUAUCAAGAACUGUUGCGACCGUGUUUGCUUCGCUGAGGUACAGCAUGCACUAGUUUAAGACUUUGCCGUAUAGAGAAUUUUCAGUAGAUUAAUAAUUUUCAAUCCGUUGCCCUAUGUUGUUUCCAGAUAUUAAAAUAAUAGAAAAUGAAAAUGUCCAAUUUUUAGGACUUUUAGACAUUUUCGAGAUUUCCAAUUUAACUAACUUAUUCUACAGAGAAUUUUCCGUAAAUUAAGACUCUGCCAUUCGUUCCUUUUUAUCGUCAAAAAUUGAAAAAUUGCAAUUUUUAGCACUUCCAGUCGCGGUUUUAGGCCUUUUACUCCAUUAAAUUAAAUUAUUUUAAAUUUCCAUCAGUUUCCAUUUCCACAGUAACUUCGUAAAAAUUUUCCUAGAUGCCGAAUUUAAUUCUGUAUCUCCCGGUAUCGAAAUUUAUGGCAAGAAAAUUCCGUAACGCGAGUUAUAUUGAAAGUUGUGUGUGUGUGCCUUAGUACUUGUUGCCCUACGAAUUCUAGUUUUAUUAGUAUAACACGCGAACGCGGUGUCACAGUAACUUCGGAAAAAUUGUCCUAGUUACCGAAUUAAUUCUGUAUCUCCCUGUGUCAAAAUUUAUUGCGAUAAAAUUUCGUAAUGUGAGUUAUAUUGAAAGUUGUGUGUGUGUGACUUAGUAUUCGUUGCGCUAGGAAUUGUAGUUUUUUAUAGUAUAACACACGGACGCGGUGUCACAGUAACUUUGGAAAAAUUUUUCUAAUUGUUGUUUUUUUUUUAUUAUAACACGCGAACACGGUUUUACUGUAAGUUCGGAAUAAUUUUCUUUGAUGCGGAAUUUAAUUCUGUAUCUCCCUGAAUCGAAAUUUAUUGCCAGAAAAUUCCGUAACGCGAGUUAUAUGUACAAUUGUGUGUAUACGCACUUGUACUUCUUGCGCUAUGAAUUGUAGUUUUUUUUAUUAUAACACGCGUACGCGGUCUUACUGUAAGUUCGAAAUA